CAGUAGCCACGGUAAUACGUAGGUGGCAAGCGUUGUCCGGAAUUAUUGGGCGUAAAGGGCUCGCAGGCGGUUUCUUAAGUCUGAUGUGAAAGCCCCCGGCUCAACCGGGGAGGGUCAUUGGAAACUGGGAAACUUGAGUGCAGAAGAGGAGAGUGGAAUUCCACGUGUAGCGGUGAAAUGCGUAGAGAUGUGGAGGAACACCAGUGGCGAAGGCGACUCUCUGGCUUGUAACUGACGCUGAGGAGCGAAAGCGUGGGGAGCGAACAGGAUUAGAUACCCCAGUAGUCCCUGUCUCUUAUAC
RNAcentral lists this ribosomal RNA (301 nucleotides) under uncultured bacterium. RNAcentral's name for it is "partial 16S ribosomal RNA". It matches the Rfam family "Bacterial small subunit ribosomal RNA", at positions 509 to 807 of the family's 1533-position model. The record is from RNAcentral.